UAGAAAAUGCAAUGCGUAUACCUACUUC
This 28-nucleotide small RNA is filed under the name Bombyx mori (domestic silkworm). RNAcentral describes it as "ovarian small RNA-6237". The record is from RNAcentral. Lineage: Eukaryota; Metazoa; Arthropoda; Insecta; Lepidoptera; Bombycidae.